CCUACGGGCGGCUGCAGUGGGGAAUAUUGCACAAUGGGGGAAACCCUGAUGCAGCGACGCCGCGUGAGUGAAGAAGUAAUUCGUGACGUAAAGCUCUAUCAGCAGGGAAGAAAAUGACGGUACCUGAGGAAGAAGCCCCGGCUAACGACGUGCCAGCAGCCGCGGGAAUACGUAGGGGGCAAGCGUUAUCCGGAUUUACUGGGGGUAAAGGGAGCGUAGACGGUGCGCCAAGUCUGGAGUGAAAUGCCGCCGCUUAACGGCGGAACUGCUUUGGAAACUGGCGAACUAGAGUGCGGGAGGGGUAAGCUUACUUCCUAGUGUAGCGGUGAAAUGCGUAGAUAUUAGGAGGUACCCCGGUGGCGACGGCGGCUUACUUGACCGUAUCUGACGUUGAGGCUCGAAAGCGUGGGGAGCAAACAGGAUUAGAUACCCUUGUAGUC
This 440-nucleotide ribosomal RNA is filed under the name uncultured bacterium. RNAcentral's name for it is "partial 16S ribosomal RNA". It matches the Rfam family "Bacterial small subunit ribosomal RNA", at positions 338 to 795 of the family's 1533-position model. The record is from RNAcentral.